Molecule: long non-coding RNA, 479 nt
Organism: Rhincodon typus (whale shark)
Lineage: Eukaryota; Metazoa; Chordata; Chondrichthyes; Orectolobiformes; Rhincodontidae
Exons: 2
Source: RefSeq, a predicted model, not a curated record
GUGACGACACCUUGUACAUGCGCAGUUGCGAAAGUGAGUUCUGGUCCAGGACAGGAAGAGGAAAUUAAACGGGGAGAAUUUGUGGGCAGAAAUCUCAAAACAAACAUCACUUCAUGAUCUGACAAAGUCAUCUGAUUUCUAAUUUGGACGUGAAUAUCACCUGACUUGAAACCUAGACAGAGAAAUGUUGGAAAAAUUCUAAAGAUCAGUGUGCUGGGAAUUCAUUGAUCAAGCGAGUGUUUCAGUGAAUUGACUGUGGAAAGAGCAUAAAGCAGUUGCACAGCCUUAUAAGACAUUCACAGCGGGAAGAGACACAACAUGUGCUCUGCUCAUCAAACCUGGAGAGACACAAGGACACCUGCACCAUGGAGAAACUGUGGAAAUGUGUGAAACAUUGGGAACGUAUUCCCGACCCCAUCUAUUGCCAGAAAUGCUUGGGUGCAGUCACACGGAGGAGAGGCUAUUCAUUUUCCUCAAGG